RNAcentral lists this ribosomal RNA (452 nucleotides) under uncultured candidate division MSBL1 archaeon. RNAcentral describes it as "bacterial SSU rRNA". It matches the Rfam family "Archaeal small subunit ribosomal RNA", at positions 455 to 906 of the family's 1478-position model. The record is from RNAcentral. Lineage: Archaea; Methanobacteriati; Methanobacteriota.
GUGCCAGCCGCCGCGGUAACACCAGCGGCUCAAGUGGUAGUCGAUUUUAUUGGGUCUAAAGCGUCCGUAGCCGGAUCGUCAAGUCCCUUGUGAAAUCGGGCGGCUUAACCGCUCGGCUUGCAAGAGAAACUGACGUUCUUGGGGUCGGCAGGCGCCGAGGGUACUCCGGAGGUAGCGGUGAAAUGCUAUAAUCUUCGGGGGACCGCCGGUGGCGAAAGCGCUCGGCGGGGCCGAACCCGACGGUGAGGGACGAAGGCCAGGGGAGCGAACCGGAUUAGAUACCCGGGUAGUCCUGGCUGUAAAGUAUGUGGGCCAGGUGCCAGACGUUCCUCGAGAGCGCUUGGUGCCGAAGGGAAGCCGUUAAGCCCACCACCUGGGGAGUACGGUCGCAAGACUGAAACUUAAAGAAAUUGGCGGGGGAGCACCACAAGGGGUGGAGCCUGCGGUUUAAU